Molecule: non-coding RNA, 89 nt
Filed under: unclassified sequences
Source: RNAcentral
UGAUAACUGCCACCGGGUAGUGUAAUGCUUUGGCAUUCGUCUGCACAUCGUUAGGUCUUUGAAGAUGUGCAUACGGGUGCUUUUUUUCG